This 47-nucleotide non-coding RNA is filed under the name Streptococcus pyogenes. Lineage: Bacteria; Bacillati; Bacillota; Bacilli; Lactobacillales; Streptococcaceae. The record is from RNAcentral.
AUAAGAAUCUGUCUGUCCCGUAAACUGCUAUUUUACAGGGCUUUUUU